RNAcentral lists this long non-coding RNA (14969 nucleotides) under Gossypium barbadense (sea-island cotton). RNAcentral describes it as "long non-coding RNA (GBAR_LNC013358)". Lineage: Eukaryota; Viridiplantae; Streptophyta; Magnoliopsida; Malvales; Malvaceae. The record is from RNAcentral.
CGGGCGUUGAGUGCGCUGCAAAUGCACGAGGAGACGUACGGCGCACUGAGGCUACUGGUUGUGAGCUGAAUUGGGCUAGGGUUUUGCCAUCUUGGGCCUCUGUUGUGUUUUUAUUUGGGCUACGGAUUUUGUUUUAAUUUUGUUUAUUAUUGUGUGUUUUGUGUUUAAGGUCAGGGUAGAAUUGGGCCCGUACAGCUGCCCCUCUUUACUCGUUGUCGUGUAAUGAGAACAGAGCAAAGACUUCAAAAGGGCCAAUUUUGCCCGGUCUCACCGAGUCUUGACUUCUUCUACUAUUUCUUUUCUUCAAAUAACUCCGUUCCAGUCCAUUGUGUCUUGUUGCUUCAAUCCACUCCACUGCAUUUCAAAAAGAUCUGACUUGUAGCUUUAAUUUUGUUCGCCACAACUUCUGGGGGACGAUGUUUGUGGUUUUAGUCUGUUCCACUGUAACUUCAGGGAGAUAAGACUGGAUGCAAUCUGCUCUACUACAUCUUCAGAGAGAUAAGAUCUUUGUUUUAAUCCGCUCCACUGUAACUUUAGGGAGAUAGGAUAGUGUCUUCGAUCUGCUCUGCUGUAAUCUCAGGGAGAUAAGAUCCCUGGCUUCAAUCUGCUCCACUAUAACCUCAGGGAGAUAAGAUCUGAAAUUCUUCGGUCUACUCUACCGUAACCUCAGGGAGAUAAGACCUGAUGCGAUCUACUCUGCUGUAACUUCAGAGAGAUAAGAUCCACUCCACUGUAACUUCAAGGAGAUAGGAUAGUGUCUUCGAUCUGCUCCGCUGUAAACUCAGGAAGAUAAGAUUUCUGGCUUCAAUCUGCUCCACUGUAACCUCAGGGAGAUAAGACCUGAAAUUCUUCGGUCUACUCCACUGUAACCUCAGGGAGAUAAGACUUGUAUAUUCAACCUGCCCCACUGUAACUUCAGGGAGAUAAGGUUUGUGGCUCCGAUCUGCUCCUCUGUAGUCUCAGGGAGAUAAGACUUGAUACGAUCUGCUCCACCGUAAUCUCAGGGAGAUAAGAUCUCUAAUAUUCACCGGUCUGUUCUCUAGGGAACAUGGCCUAUAUAAUGAACCUAAUUAUGCCUAAUGAUUAGGAUGGCACGAUCAAAAAUGAAUCAAAUGCUCCUAACUAGACAUGUGUGAAUGGUGUUUGCAUGAAUGCAGAAUUUUAUAUUUCCGAGAAUGAUCUCGCUUAUGUUGUCAUUACUCGAAGUUUAUUAAAGCUUUGUGACCGACGUGUUACAGCACCCUUUUUGCUUGACUGGCUUUUCUGAUAAAACAUUUAGCCAAGUUGUCCCCACUGUAAACCUCAAAGUUUAAUCCAUUUGGGCGCACAAUUUGUGCCAUCAUUAUCCCACUGCAAUCCAAUGGUAAAAAUAUGCGGCUUUCAUUUCAAUUCUAUCUUAUCAGAAAUCAAGGAUACAGGAUCUAAAUCGUUCUGGUUUCUUACACCAUUCUCAAGGUGUCGUAUUUAUGUGCAAAUGAAGGCUCUCUUCUCUAAGGUAACCUCUUCCUAUUGCUUGAUGGUCAUUGCUUGCUUGUUUGUGUAAGCUUUGUCACCAACAUGGCGUUUUGUCAAUCAACACAUUUGACAACAAAAAUCCAAAGAGAAAAUCUAAAUUUAGACUAUUCCUUCCCAAAUUUCCAACCUUUAAAUUUGGUGCGUUUUAAACAAUAGUCCUGCUUCAGGCUCCUUUAUUAUUUAGAAACUUUCCAGAGUUAUGUGUAAAACUUCCUUUGUGAAAGUUUUAUUAGUCCAUACAACAUAUUUGCAAAAAGGUCAUAACAAUGGAUAAGAAUAAAGCUGGUUCUGAUCAUAAAUCAAAAAGAAAUAAAACAUCGAAGAUAGUGAAAGAAAGACGACAAAGAAGUGGAUUGAGAAUGUGUAUCUUAGCAAAAAGAAAAACGUAUUUUCAAGAAUAUACAUAUAAAUAGAAUAAGAACUAGGUGCCCCAGUUAUCGCAGCUUGAAUUUCUCUGUACAAACUUUCUGAAGACCAUUCGGAGUUUGACAUGUGUUUAGGAGAUCUGCAAUACUCUGUCAAUGAUCCAAGACGUCGCAUAUCAUUUCUUGUUGGUUCGGGUAAAGCAAGAUCUUCACAUGCCCCUGAUCAGAAUUUGAUCUGCUCAAAUCACCUUAUAACCCAACUCGAUCAAUACUUGAGCCACCCUUUCCGGGUUUUUGACUUAAGCCCCCUUUGGCCUCAAGGUGCCCUUUGCGGGUUUUCACCCUGGCCUCUCCAAAGUUUUUUUUUGGAAGCAAAGCGCCCUUUGCGGGUUUUCACUUUGGUUCUCUUUUCUUUCAAGUGAAAUAUUUCUUGACGGAGUCUGCGUUUACAGGGUUUGGCAAACUUUUGCCAUCCAUCUCACAUAGGAUUAAAGCCCCACCGGAAAAUGCCUUCUUUACAACAUAGGGACCUUCCCAAUUUGGCAUCCAUUUUCCUCUCGAAUCCUUUUGCAUGGGGAGAAUCUUUUUUAGCACCAAGUCUCCUUCACGAAACUCUCUGGGGCGGACCUUUUUAUUAUAGGCUCGCAUCAUUCGUUUCCGGUACAUUUGCCCAUGACGGAUAGCUCUAAGCCUCUUUUCUUCUAUUAGGUUCAACUGAUCGUACCGAGAUUGGACCCAAUCGGCUUCGUCCAAUUGUAGAUCAGAUAGUACCCGUAGAGAGGGGAUUUCAACUUCAAUGGGUAAUACCGCCUCCAUUCCAUAUACCAGAGAAAAAGGUGUUGCUCCGGUAGAAGCUCUAACAGAUGUUCGAUAGGCAAGGAGAGCAAAUGAUAACUUCUCAUGCCAAUCCUUGUAAGUUUCAAUCAUUUUCCCCACGAUCCUUUUGAUGUUCUUAUUAGCCGCCUCCACUGCACCAUUCAUUUUUGGACGAUAUGGCGAUGAAUUAUGAUGUUUGAUUUUAAAUUGGCUGCAAACCUCAGCUAUUGUGCUAUUAUUCAAAUUUAACACAUUGUUGGAUAUAAUUUUCUCAGGCAUUCCAUAUCGACAAAUAAUCUCUUUCUUCAAGAAUUUGCUAACUGCUGACUUCGUGACAUUUGCGUAUGAAGCAGCCUCUACCCAUUUGGUAAAGUAAUCAAUGACCACAAAGAUGAAACGAUGCCCAUUAGAAGCCUUUGGUGAUAUUGGCCCAAUAACAUCCAUACCCCACAUGGAAAACGGCCAAGGAGAGGUCAUGACGUGAAGAGGUGAAGGAGGCGCAUGUAUUUUGUCUCCGUAAAUUUGGCAUUUGUGGCAUUUCUUGGCGUAAUCUAUGCAAUCUCCUUCCAGGGUGGGCCAAUAGUACCCAAAUCUCAUGAUUUGUCUGGCCAUCAUAAAACCAUUGGCGUGCGUCCCACAAAUACCCUCAUGUACUUCCUCCAAUAUUUUCUUGGCAUCCACGGCAUCCACACAUCUUAGCAAUACUUGAUCCUUCCUUCUUUUGUAUAACACUUCCCCAUCUAGGACAUAUUCGAUGGCUAUUCUUCUCAGAGUUCUUUUGUCAUUCUCUGUCGCUUGAUUGGGGUACUCCCGAUCCUUCACGUACUGUAGGAUAUUCUGAUACCAAGGACAAUCAUCUUUUCCCUCCUCUUCAAUAUUGCAGCAAUGAGCUGGGUUCUCAUAGAUACUCAUCUGAAUAGGCCUCAUUGCCUCGAGUCUAUUCACCUGAAUCAUCGAAGCUAGAGUAGCUAAUGCGUCAUCCAUUUGGUUUUCCUCUCGUGGGAGAUAACAGAAGGUGAUAUCAUCAAACUCACCAGCCAAUUCGAGAACUAGUUUUCUAUAAUCAAUUAGCUUAGGGUCCCUAGUUUCCCAUUCCCCUUUUAGUUGGUAUAUCACCAAUGCAGAAUCCCCAUAUACUCUUAGCACUUUGAUGUUUCGUUCAAUGGCUGCACGAAUGCCCAUAAUACAUGCUUCAUAUUCUGCCAUAUUAUUAGUACAAUCGAAGUCCAACUUGCUAGCAACAGGAUAAUGAUCUCCAUUUGGGGAUACCAAGAUUGCCCCAAUUCCAUUACCCGUAGCAUUCGAAGCUCCAUCAAAAUUUAACCUCCAUACGCUACCCAUUUGAGGAUUCUCUUCAGUGUUCGCCACAUACUUCAAGUCCUCAUUUGGAAAGUCGAAGUUCAAAGACUCGUAGUCUUCCAAGGCUCUACUAGCUAAGAAGUCAGCUAUCGCACUUCCCUUUAUGGCCUUCUGACUUACAUAUACUAUGUCAAAUUCUGAGAGCAGGAUUUGCCAUCUAGCCAUUCUCCCGUUUAAAGCAGUAGAUUCCAUCAUAUACUUUAAAGGAUCCAACUUUGAAAUCAGCCAAGUCGUAUGAUACAACAUAUGUUGCCUUAGUCUUCGGGUUGCCCAGAUUAAAGCGCAACACAACUUCUCAACUGAUGAGUAUCUCAUUUCGCAAUCAGUAAAUUUCUUGCUGAGAUAGUAUAUUGCCUUUUCUUUCUUUCCCGUCUCAUCAUGUUGGCCUAAUACGCAUCCCAUGGAAUUCUCCAACACUGUUAGAUAUAAUAUCAAUGGCCUAUCUGGACUUGGUGGUGAUAAGACUGGAGUAUUAACCAAGUACUGCUUUAUCUUAUCGAAAGCUCUCUGGCAUUCUUCAUCCCAUUCACCCGGAUUAUGCUUCUUUAAGAGACAGAAUAUCGGAUCACAUUUCUCCGUCAGUUAUGAGAUGAAUCGAGCAAUGUAAUUCAAUCUCCCUAGGAAACCUCGAACUUCCUUCUGCGUGCGCGGGGGAGGUAAAUCUCGUAUUGCUUUUACUUUGUUUGGGUCAACCUCAAUCCCUUUUUUGCUAAUUAUGAAGCCUAAUAACUUCCCUGAUCUGGCUCCAAAUGUGCAUUUUGCAGGGUUAAGCUUGAGCUGAAAUUUCCUCAAUCUCAAAAAUAACUUUUUCAAGACUUGAACGUGCUCUUCUUCCGUUCUAGACUUCGUAAUCAUAUCAUCCACAUAGACUUCGAUCUCCUUGGGCAUCAUGUCGUGAAACAAAGUCACCAUAGCUCUUUGAUAUGUUGCUCUCGCAUUUUUCAAUCCGAAGGGCAUUACCUUGUAACAAAAUGUUCCCCAUAAGGUAAUGAAUGUGGUUUUCCUCAUGUCUUCAGGAUGCAUCUUUAUUUGAUUGUACCCGGAGAAGCCAUCCAUGAAAGAAAACAAUGAAUAGCCCGCCGUGUUAUCUACCAAGGUAUCAAUGUGAGGCAGUGGAAAAUUAUCUUUUGGACUCGCCUUGUUCAAAUCUCUAUAAUCCACACACAUUCGUACCUUUUCAUCUUUUUUAGGAACAGGGACGAUGUUUACUACCCAAUCCGAAUACUUGACCUCUUGUAAGAAUCCAGCGUAGAAUUGCCUUUUGAGUUCUUCUUUUAUUUUCAACACAAUAUCAGGUCUCAUUCUCCUGAGCUUCUGCUGAAUGGGUUUACAAUCUUCUUUUAUGGGUAGACGAUGCACAACAAUGUUAAUGCUUAGCCCGGGCAUAUCUUGGUAUGACCACGCGAAAACAUCUUUGAACUUUCGGAGUAAAUUAAUGAGGUCUUGUUUUGUCUUUGCAGUGAUUUCAGUGCCAAUUUUCACCUAUUUUCCAUCCUCUAGGCUCACGAUUUCUAAUAAUUCCCCAUGAGGUAGGAUCUGUUUAUCCUCUUCUUCCACCAUUCUUAGCAAGUCCGGAGACACACCAUAAUCUUCGUCAUUUUCAAAGUCGUGAGAUCCCUCCAAACACAUUUCUUGCUCAAAGAUAGGCUCCGUGUUUGAAGCAGCAUCACUCAUGUCGUUGAUAUCUGAAGACCUAUGAAGGCAUACCAAAGAGUAUACCAAGAAUAUAUAAAUUUAUGAAUGAAUAUUUGUGCAAAAGAGUUACAAAUGAAAGAAUUAUUUAUAAGACAAUUAAUCAAAUGGAAAGUAUUUAUUUAUAUGUAAAGGAAAAAAGUGACUGAUUGAGAUGAAUGUAGAUAUGUAUUUCAUUAAAAUGAUGAUAUUUAGGCCCAAAGCCUAUUUCACAAAAGAUUUCAUAUCGUUCCUAGGCCAAAACAACAGGAAUGUUUUGAGCAUUACUCUGAAUAAGCCCUAAAGACUACAGGGAUUUCUUCAGCAGUCCAAUUGUUUAGCUCGCUCCCCGGCUCAUGAGGGCGGAUCUCCAACAAGGCCCUUUUUUCCGCUGCUUCCACAGUGUUGAUAUGAACAUUUUCCAACAUUCUUUCAAUGCCUUUGCUACCGGACACUCCGCACUCAGAAUGAAUAAAUCCUCCUGACACAAAGGAUGUAGAUAUGUGGGGAAAGGUUAAAGGCUCCCACUUAGCUUCAUAUCCGCUCAAACGUGCCCUUCUUUUCUCUUGUCUCUUCUCUAUUUCUUUCUUUUUCUGCUUCAUGUCUGGCUUGUAUCCUAAGCCAAAACUAUCGAACUUUUCCUUCAACAUUGGAGCUUCAAUCCUUCCUUGAAGAUAUUUUCCCAGUCCUUUCCCUGGUGCGGCUCCUCUUCCUACCAUCAAUCGCAACCCCAUUUCGGUGGUCCUGGAUAUUUUCGGUAUUGGAAUUCUACUUCCCUCCGCAAUAAACAUCGCGUUCACAAAUUCUAACGACCGAAAAGAACAUUUCAGUGCAUCAUCGUUGAUGUCCACAUAAGGUACAUCACUGGUCAUCAUUGCGAUAAUAUCUUUCUCUGCAUCUAUUGUUACCAACUGACCCUCCGAUACCAACUUCACCUUCUGAUGUAAUGAUGAAGGUACUGCCCCCGAUGAGUGUAUCCACGGUCUUCCCAAUAAACAGUUGUAGGAAGGCCUAAUAUCCAUUACCAAGAAGUCCACCUCAUAAGUGAUUGGGCCAAUCCUUAACGGUACCUCAAUUCUCCCCAUAACCUUUUUUUCCGUUCCAUCAAAUGCCCUUACUAUACUCUGGCAUGUUUUCAUGUGCGAACUGUCCACCGGUAAUCGACCAAGAGUGGAUAGAGGCAAUACAUUCAGUGCAGAUCCAUUAUCAACCAGGGCUCCCGGGAGUGUAUAUCCUUUGCAUCGGACAGUAACGUACAGGGCUUUAGUAGAACCCCUUCCUCCGGAUGGUAUUUCGUCAUCAUUGAAGAAGAUAAAAUUGUCAGCGCCUAUGUUGUUGAUCAACCGAUCUAGCUUGUUUACCGAUAUAUCGUCGGCCACAUAUGUUUCGUUUAGUACCUUCAGAAGCGCAUUCCGAUGUAUUUCUGAGCUUAGAAGUAAAGCUAAUACAGAAAUGUGGCUGGUUGUUUGUGCAGUUGCUCCACAACACUGUAUUCACUGUGCUUCAGAAACUUCAAAAACUCUUUUGCCUCAUCUUCUUUUAUUGGUUCAUUAACCAAUGGCUCAACUCCAACUGCUUUUCCGGUCCUCUGUUCUUUCUUCCAAUUCUCUUCCCUGGACGACUCUGCUUGAGUGUCAUAUCGUUUCUUAUUGCGUGUGUAAGAACCUAUUUCCUGGCUUUCUUCUGCUUUUUUUUUCCAAGAUGGUCACAUUGCACCCAUAAUUCCACGGCACAAUUUUGCUAUCCUUAUACAAGAAAUUUGAUGGUUUUUGAAUUACAACUUUCGGUGUUACCUGAGCCCUAGUUUCAUUACCUUUAGGGCGUGAGAUAACGACCACAGGAUGAUUUAUUUUCGGAGUUCCUGUUCCUGACUCUGUCGCGCAUAUGCUCCUCUUUUCUUCCGCCUCUUCAUAAAACGUCAUCUCUUUGUUAUCCAUCAUGCUUUGAACCAAAGCCCUGAAUCCUUCACAUUCUUGGAUUUCGUGCCCUGUUUUAUGAUGGAAUUCACAAAAAUUUUCCAGCUCGUACCCUUCCUCAAAAUUUGAAAUAACUAACCUUCUCUUUGCCAUCUCUUUCCAGACCCGUUUCAAUGGAGUUUUUACUUCAGCAAUGUCAGACUUGACUUCUCUUCUCGUACCUUCACUCACCAUAUUCACCCCCUUAUCAGCGUGAUUAGGUAACGGAUUUUCUGAGUUAGGUGAGUCGUCAAGUUUAACAACACCUAAUUUGAUAAGUCCUUCCACUACCUUCUUGAAAGCUGUACAAUUUUCUAUUGAGUGCCCUGAAAUUCCUGCGUGAUAAUCACAUUAUGCAUUCGUGUCAUACCAUUUUGGAUACGGGGGUUGUAGAGGACUCAAGUAACGAGGAGCAACAACAUGUGCAUUGAAUAAAGUCUGAUACAAUUUCUUGUAUGACAUUGGGAUUGGCGUGAAUUGGGGCUUUUCAGUAGUUUGCCUAGCUCUUGAUUCUUGUCUUGACGAUCCCGGUUGAUUAGCAACCCCUUUUUUUGGUUGAUUCACAGUAAUUGACCUACCGUAGGCAUUCACAUUAUUCACUUCAUUUUCUCUUUUCCUCGGGGCUGCCCUUCUAUUAUUUUCCCUUCCAUCUAUUCUUCCACUUUUAAUGGCAUGCUCAAUCAUUUCACCAUUCAUGAUUAUAUCCGAGAAAUUCUUUGAAGCGCUUCCCAACAUGUGAGUAAUGAAUGGGGCCUUCAAUGUAUUAAUAAAAAGCGUCGCCAUCUCUUUUUCUAAAAGCGGUGGUUGUACCUGAACCGCCACCUCUCUCCACCUCUGCGCGUACUGUCUGAAGCUUUCGUUUGAUUUUUUUUUCUAAAUUCUGCAGAGUUAUCCUGUCAGGCAUCAUUUCCGAGACAUGAUCGUAUUGUCUCAUGAAAGCCUGUGCCAAAUCUUUCCAAGUAGUAAUUUUUAUUCUGCUCAGCUGAUUAUACCACUUUGACACCGCUCCUGUAAGGCUUUCCUGAAAGUAAUGUAUUAAUAAUUGAUCAUUAUUAAUAUACCCCGUCAUUCUUCUACAAAACAUAGUAAUAUGGGCUUCUGGGAAACUGGUCCCGUUAUAUUUCUCAAAUUCCGGCAUUCUAAAUUUGUAAGGUAGCACCAAGUCCGGAACCAAGCUCAGGUCUUUUGCGUCUUUCCCAUGAUAGCUUUCAAUGCUUUCUAUUGCCCUAAACUUCUCUUCUAUCCAUUUCCAUUUCUCCUCAAGUUGUUUUGGAAGCUCCUCCUUCGCCUUGUCCUUUUCGGCCAUCUCGUCAAGAUCUAGGAUAGCAAUAUUAUUCGGGCUAUCUCCAGGAUUAGAGCCCACCCCGGGUUGAAAAUUCAUUGGUAUGGAAGCAUCGCCUUGGAACUGCUGAGGCCUAACCGACACAGAGGGUCUUCGUGGAUGCAGCUCAGUUUGAACCUGCGCGUGCGGAGGCGUAAAACUUGGAGGAUAAAGUGGUUCGCUAUUGUUUUCUUCCUCAUUAACAAUCACAGGUCCUUUCCCCUUAUCUACUCCAUUCAAUAAUUGUGUCAUCUUAGUUAUCAGAUCGUUUUGAGACUCCCGCAUCUUUUAUUCUAUGUCAUGCUGAAUCUUUUCUAUCUGCUCCUUCAUUUGCGCCUGCAACUGGUCUUGCAUUUCCUUUUGAAGUCGUUCUAGCUUUUCCAGCCUUUGGUCCAUAAUUUUUGACUUAGCUCGAGUGCCGUAACCUUGUUGGUUUUCUAGGUUAACUGAAAUAAUUUUAUUCGAUUAGGGUUCUUUAAUGGUCAUUAAUGCAUAUGAUGUGAUGCAAUGCAUGAAAAGAAUGCAAAAAGAGGCAGUGAUUCUAAUUCAACUUCAUUAGAAAAACUCAACUAGAAAACAAAUUUCUUUUACAUAAAGUGGAUUACAUAUACGGCUUUGCCUUUAUGCUCAAAGCCUUAACUCUCCUAAGGAGCCAAGCUAACUCUCGACCCCGACUUGAUUCCAAUUCAUAUUUCAAACUCAAUAUAUCGGCCUGAACUGCUAAAGUUUACAAAUGAUCAGCUACUUCCCGAAUUUGAGAUAUAGCUUCACCCAUCACGUAAUCCCUAUCUCUAAUCUGAUUUUGAGAAUGGAGGAGCUGCUCUUGGCAUUGUUCGUUACGCCUUUCAAGAAGUUCCUCUCGCGAUUCAGAGUUUUGCAGUGCAUCUUCAAGUUCUCCUAUUUUUUUCUUCAAUUCUUCGAUGUUAUUCAAACUUGCUUUUAGCUCGAUCACAGAGUUGCGAUUACGGCACAAGUGAAGCGACCUUUUUAACUCUGCUACCCGAUCUUUCAAUCUUGCUUCUUCAUUUUGGCAUUCUAAUAAACUUUUUUCCAAUGCACUUUCUCGAGCUCGGGCACCUUGAAAUUUCUUUUCCCACUGAUCAGCUUUGGUCCUUUCUUCCUCGAUCUCCUGUUUCCAUUGUUUCGAUGUUUUCCCCAAACCCGCAGUUCGCAUUGACAAUCGUAGCCUUUUAUAAUCUGUUUUUAAACUAUCUAAAUCCUCUUCAGCCUUAUUUUUCCCUUUUCUUAACUUUUCAGCUUCCAACUUGUGGAUAUCAACAUCUAGUCCCAAACGCAUCUUUUCUUCUUUCAGCUGUUCUAUCCUCUUUCCAAACUCUGAACUUCUUUUUUCGAAGUCUUGCUUGAUGAUCUCUAGUUCUGAAGGGACUAUUCGUAAAUACUCUUCUAUAGGACGACCACAUUCUUCUCCUGGCUUUGGGAUGUUAUCGUCGAUCCUCUUACUCCGCCACCCGUGAUAUUCGAGAGUUGUCGUUGCUCCUACGGUAAUUCUUUUCAUCCGGUGAAUUCGUUUCCAAGCGUUAGACAUCUCUCAGAUCUUUCCCUUGUAGUUAUUACCUUUAUAAGAAAAGUCACACUCGGCUAGCCCUUGCGUUGCCGGUAUAACUGCCUUGACUUAUAUUGCCUUAACAAAGCAAAGGGGCAUAUCCGACAGCUCCCCAAAUUCCAAGCAAAUGGACCCAGUCAAAGUCCCCACAUCGGUACAAAAUCUCGUCGGGCACCAUCCAAGAAGCUUUACAUUCAACAUCUUCAUCUCGUAGAUUAUGAAGGAUCGUCAUCCACUUUUCCUCCGUGAUGUCAUUACGUCUUGGUGUUGCUGCCAAUUCCUUCAAAGACGAGUAAUUUUUUGAGAAAACUUGAUAAGAAAUCUUAUCCACCUUCCAGAAGUGGCUGUGAAACCAAACCAACAGGAGUUGUGCACAACCAACGAAUCUUCCCUCCCCCGUUCUUCGACAUGCACUUAAAGACCUAAACGUUUCGGCCAAAAUUGCUGGAACGGGUGUGACCCUCCUAUCAAGUUGAUCAAACAAAUCUGUAACAGCUUCGUCUAUAUGCCCCAACGCUUUAGGAAAAAUAACUAGCCCAUACAUACUCAAAGCAAAAACAUCAACCUUUUUAUUCGUAUCCGGGUGUGCCAAAAUCUGAUCUCGCAAACUUCUCCAAGGGAUACAUUUAUUUUCUCCCUUUUGUUUGAUUCGUGCGGUGACCCAUUGCUCACUCAUUCCGGUAAUUCUCGUUAACUUCUUUGUAAAAGUCGAAACAUUAGCAGUUCUAGAAUAAACUUUAUCCACUUGGAUUCUUGGACAACGAAGUAAAGUUGUAUACUCCUCCACAGUAGGCACCAUGUCUACCUCCCCAAAUGUGAAGCAGCUAUAAGCGGAAUUCCAAAAUUGGGCCAAAGCUCGAAAUAAAUGUUCAUCUACAUUGAUGUCAAGCAAGUAGGGUAAAUCACCAUAAUUAUAGUAAAACAAUUGUUUGACUUUAUCCUCCCAUUGAGCCCAAAUUUCUUUCAACUCCUGAAGAUUGUUCUGAGUCACAUUGAUGCUAGUGUAAUCCCAUAACUCUGAUGCAAACCCCAUUGUCAGACUAUCACCUUUCUCGAGUUGUGACUUUUCUGACCAUAUUCGGAUAAUCGCAUUAUCUUCCACCUUGCUAAGAAAUUCACUUUCCAUGAUUGGCUUUUCUAUCUAGUAAUCGAAUGUGAAUCAACGCCUUUUACAAUGAAAUGCCAUGCAGACAAAAUGCCAUGCAAUCAAAACAAAAUAAGUUAGUAUCAAAAUUAAAAAUCCGAGACAAGCAAGAAAUAAUAAAGCACCUAUUUGAAGUAGUUCUAUCUAGGCUGGGUUCCUAGGGUUCACUAUAUGUGGUUUGGUUCUAAAGAUAAGGUACCCGAACCAGCAGAUUCCUCGAUCUUCACCCAUUAUAGGCUCAUAUAGACCGAGUUCGGUUCAGGGGAACACAUUUCCCUAUGGCUGCACGGAGAUGAAAAUCUCACGAAGACAUAGGUACGGAUGUAUCCCAAAAGCGAUCCACUAUCCUGCACGAAGGUGAAAACCUCACGAAGGAAAUAGCUUCUCACUCCCACUUAAAAGGUGUGACCAACGGUCAUGCAAUGCAAUGUGCAGAAAGAUACUAAAGUUUAGAAUACAAAACGUGAUGAAAACUAUAACUCAAAACCAAUGCAAUGAGAGGAUCGUAUAUUUAAAUCACAUUUUCAAAUUUCGACAAAAACACAAGAAAUGAUCAACACGUGGCUUGACUCUCUUAUUUUUUGAAAUCCCCAACAGAGUCGCCAAGCUGUUGACACCAUUUUUUUUGAUGGAAAACGGGGUCGACUUGGGUUUUUGAAAAUGAAAACAAAAACAGGAGUCGCCACCAAUCCUUUUUUAUAAGAUGUGAUUGGAUCACCUCGAAAAGUGGUUGUUUUUAAUAAAAGGUUUGAUUUUAUUAAAACAACAAGUUUGGUCCACGAAACUCAAAAAAUGGGUUCGGGAGUCGAUUACGCACGAGGAAGGAUUAGCACCCUCGAUACGCCCAAAAUUGGUACCUAGUUGAUUACUUAAUGUCUUAGUGUCGAAGAUUGAAAACUUUAAAGAAAUUUAAAGUACGAUCCUAAAAAAAAAAACUGGAAUGGCAUGGAUUAAAAUUCAAGAGGAAACUUGGCAAUUUGGUUAAACGAGAAAUCGAAACCCAGCACCUUAGGGCACGUUCCUCGAAUUUCCAAAUGCAAAAUAUUGCCUUAUUUUGAAAUUUUUAUGAAGGAUAUUAAGCCAUUUGAACGAGAAAAAUCGACACCAGCACCUUAGAGCGUGUUUUCUCGAAUUUCCAAAUGCUAAAUAUUGCCUCAAUUUGAAAUAUUCUCCUUUUUUUUUGAAAUAUGGUAUUUAUAUGCAUGAUGGGAUUAUAAAUAAAAUAACGCGACUAAAAAAAAUAAUAUGAGCACAAAAAUGAAUAAUAAAUAAAAAACAAAUCACUCAUGAAUAUACAAUAACAAGUAAAUAAAAAAAACUAAAGCAUUAAAUAAAUGGACAUAUAAAUAAUCAAAUAAAUGAAAAAAAAUAAAGAAAAUAGAUAAAAAAUUAUAAAAUAUGAAAAUAUAUAAGUACAUAUAAAAUAUAUAUAUAUGAAGGUAUUCAUAUUUUAAUACGUAAUAUAUAUAUAAGUAUGUAUGGACAUAUUCGUGAGAAAAACAGGAAGAAAAAAAUGUAUAUAGAUAUAUAUCUAUAUAGAAAAAAAUGUAUAUGGAAAAAAAUGUAUAUAGAUAUAUAUGUAUAGAUAUGUAUAUAAAUAAAAUAUAUAUGAAUAUGUAUGUAUCUAUUAAAUAAGUUACUAAAUAAAUAUAUAUGCGUGUAUACAUAUAGAUUAUAAAAAAGUAUAUAUAUAGGAAUCUAAAAGAGUUUAUACAUAUAAUGAUUUAAAAUAUAUAAUAUAUUAAAAGAAUUAAAUAAAUAGUAUGCAAAAACAAUUUAUAAUAAACAAUAAAUAAGAAACUCAAAACAAAUAAUAAUAAAGGAAACCCUAUUUUAAAAUGAUAAAAAAUAAAAUAAAAUAAAUGGACUAGGGACGAUACUGAAACCAAAUCGAAUCUGGGGGUUUUAAUUGCAAAAACCAUAAACAGGUCACUUAGGGAUUAAAAUGGCGCUCGCACAAAGAAAGAAGGACUAAUUGGGCAAUAUACCCCAGUCCUAGAGUGCAAUGUUCCAGCGCAGAGGACUAUAUAUGGUCAAAGGACCUGAUUGGAGCAGAAAUAAAGUUUGCGGCCCAAAUCGAAAAGAAAUAGGAAGUUGGAUUGCACUUCCACGCAAGGUGGAGGGACUAAAUGCAUAAAUUACCCAUUAAGGCAAAGCAUGCACAGAUUCCCCCCACCAAAUGGCGCCGUUUCACUUAUCCCCAUUUAAAACAAAAAAAAAUUUAUAACUUCAUUUUAUCAGUGUUUUAAAGAAAAAAAAAACUGAACCUAUCCUCUCCCUUUCAAAGUUCCCAGCAGCCAAACAUGGCCCACGCCGGCGAGCGGCGGUUCCAAAGGCCAAAGCUCCUUCACGAGCGGUGGUCGGAGUGAGAAAAGGAGGGCUUUUUAACCCCGUUCUCGACCUCCACCUUAAGGCCCGGUCCUCCAGACCAAACAAGCCGAAACAAUGAGAGACCUUUCGUCUCCUUCUCGGUCCGAUUCCAACACCGAAGAUGGUCUCCGGCGACGGGCUUUCGAGACCGGUAAGUGUCCCUUUUCUUUCUUUUUCGUUUUGUUUUUUUAGUUUCAAAGAGUAGUAAAAAAACAGAAAAUAGAAGAAUAUAUAAAAAAAAUUAUUAAGAACAGAGAAAGAAAUUUGGAGUCAACCUUUUCAAUUUUUUUGAUCUGCUCCCUUUUUUUUUGAAUACAGAUUUUGGUGGCUUUUAUAGCCAAAAGAUAAUCCUAAAAAUCUAUUUCCUAUUUUAUUUUUAUCAUUUCUGUCCAAUAUUGCUACUGCUGCUGCUGUUGUUCCCCUUUCUUUGCUUUGCUUGCAGGUACUGGUGAAGUCAACGGGUAUUGGAAGAAUAAACCUAGCCUUUUUUGUGCAAAACUGGUCGUGCUUCGGGCGUUGAGUGCACUGCAAAUGCACGAGGAGACGUACGGCGCACUGAGGCUGCUGGUUGUGAGCUGAAUUGGGCUAGGGUUUUGCCAUCUUGGGCCUCUAUUGUGUUUUUAUUUGGGCUACGGAUUUUGUUUUAAUUUUGUUUAUUAUUGUGUGUUUUGUGUUUAAGGUCAGGGUAGAAUUGGGCCCGUACAAAGUGGAUUAAGAUCUCUGCUCUAGCAUUGUUUUUAAUUUGUUUUAUUAUUAUUAAGUUAGGCUUGGAGAACUUUUAGGUGAAACCCUAAUUUUUUUAAAAAUAGGCAUAAAGUCUCUCUUUGUAAUCUUGAAUCUUUUUGAAUUUGUAUAAUCCAACAAUUUUAAAGAUGAGAUAAUAUUGAUU